RNAcentral lists this ribosomal RNA (616 nucleotides) under uncultured Bacteroidales bacterium. RNAcentral's name for it is "bacterial SSU rRNA". It matches the Rfam family "Bacterial small subunit ribosomal RNA", at positions 64 to 678 of the family's 1533-position model. The record is from RNAcentral. Lineage: Bacteria; Pseudomonadati; Bacteroidota; Bacteroidia; Bacteroidales.
UCGGGAAGAAAGCUUGCUUUCUUUGCCGGCGACCGGCGCACGGGUGAGUAACACGUAUCCAACCUGCCCUUUACUCGGGGAUAGCCUUUCGAAAGAAAGAUUAAUACCCGAUAGCAUAAUGAUUCCGCAUGGUUUCAUUAUUAAAGGAUUCCGGUAAAGGAUGGGGAUGCGUUCCAUUAGGUUGUUGGUGAGGUAACGGCUCACCAAGCCUUCGAUGGAUAGGGGUUCUGAGAGGAAGGUCCCCCACAUUGGAACUGAGACACGGUCCAAACUCCUACGGGAGGCAGCAGUGAGGAAUAUUGGUCAAUGGGCGCUAGCCUGAACCAGCCAAGUAGCGUGAAGGAUGAAGGCUCUAUGGGUCGUAAACUUCUUUUAUAUAAGAAUAAAGUGCAGUAUGUAUACUGUUUUGUAUGUAUUAUAUGAAUAAGGAUCGGCUAACUCCGUGCCAGCAGCCGCGGUAAUACGGAGGAUCCGAGCGUUAUCCGGAUUUAUUGGGUUUAAAGGGAGCGUAGGUGGACUGGUAAGUCAGUUGUGAAAGUUUGCGGCUCAACCGUAAAAUUGCAGUUGAUACUGUCAGUCUUGAGUACAGUAGAGGUGGGCGGAAUUCGUGGUGUAG